AUACUCUGUUUUCUCUUCAAAUCGAAUAAAUCUUUUGCCUUUUACUAAAGAUUUCCAUGGAGAGGAAUGACCAUGAGUUUCAUUAAAUUUUUUGAAGCCUGGUUCACACCAAGCU
This 115-nucleotide small nuclear RNA is filed under the name Xenopus laevis (African clawed frog). RNAcentral describes it as "U5 spliceosomal RNA". It matches the Rfam family "U5 spliceosomal RNA". From Rfam's summary of the family: U5 RNA is a component of both types of known spliceosome. The precise function of this molecule is unknown, though it is known that the 5' loop is required for splice site selection and p220 binding, and that both the 3' stem-loop and the Sm site are important for Sm protein binding and cap methylation. Lineage: Eukaryota; Metazoa; Chordata; Amphibia; Anura; Pipidae. The record is from Rfam by way of RNAcentral.